GUCCACGCCCUAAACGAUGAAUACUCGAUGUUAGCGAUAUACAGUUAGCGUCAAAGCGAAAGCGUUAAGUAUUCCACCUGGGGAGUACGCCCGCAAGGGUGAAACUCAAAGGAAUUGACGGGGGCCCGCACAAGCGGAGGAGCAUGUGGUUUAAUUCGAUGAUACGCGAGGAACCUUACCCGGGCUUGAAAGUUAGUGAAUGGAUCAGAGAUGAUUCAGUGAGCAAUCACACGAAACUAGGUGCUGCAUGGCUGUCGU
RNAcentral lists this ribosomal RNA (258 nucleotides) under uncultured bacterium. RNAcentral's name for it is "partial 16S ribosomal RNA". It matches the Rfam family "Bacterial small subunit ribosomal RNA", at positions 793 to 1055 of the family's 1533-position model. The record is from RNAcentral.